ACUUGGCAUAAGUUGGGUGCAAAAAUAUGUUGAUUUACAUCUUGUAGGUCUGUUAGAUCUCAUUUUUUUUUUAUGGUUAAGUCAAUUAGGAUCAUUAAAUAAAUGGCUUUCUGUUUGUUUUCAAAUUUAUUUUAGGACUUUUUUCAUAAGCACCGUCAACUUUGCAUUAAUCCAUAGUACUUAAACAAUCCUAAAGUCUAGGUGAAGUAGAAAUAUGAAUUUUGCUUGUAAAAAACUUUUG
This 241-nucleotide unclassified non-coding RNA is filed under the name Hevea brasiliensis (rubber tree). The record is from RNAcentral. Lineage: Eukaryota; Viridiplantae; Streptophyta; Magnoliopsida; Malpighiales; Euphorbiaceae.